GACGAACGCUGGCGGCGUGCUUAACACAUGCAAGUCGAACGGAAAGGCCCUGCUUUUGUGGGGUGCUCGAGUGGCGAACGGGUGAGUAACACGUGAGUAACCUGCCCUUGACUUUGGGAUAACUUCAUGAAACUGGGGCUAAUACCGGAUAGGAGCUCCUGCUGCAUGGUGUGGGUUGGAAAGUUUCGGCGGUUGGGGAUGGACUCGCGGCUUAUCAGCUUGUUGGUGGGGUAGUGGCUUACCAAGGCUUUGACGGGUAGCCGGCCUGAGAGGGUGACCGGCCACAUUGGGACUGAGAUACGGCCCAGACUCCUACGGGAGGCAGCAGUGGGGAAUAUUGCACAAUGGGCGGAAGCCUGAUGCAGCAACGCCGCGUGCGGGAUGACGGCCUUCGGGUUGUAAACCGCUUUCGCCUGUGACGAAGCGUGAGUGACGGUAAUGGGUAAAGAAGCACCGGCUAACUACGUG
This 468-nucleotide ribosomal RNA is filed under the name uncultured bacterium. Its description in RNAcentral is "partial 16S ribosomal RNA". It matches the Rfam family "Bacterial small subunit ribosomal RNA", at positions 28 to 507 of the family's 1533-position model. The record is from RNAcentral.